GUAUAGAAAAAUCAUAAGCUAGUUUUUAAUUCUGGAAUACUUGAUGUUUAAACGUUUAUUCUUCUCAAAUUUGUUGGCAGUAAACCCAGUGCGCCGAAAACAGCCAGGUAUCUCUCCUUCAAGGCAAUCUGCCCAUCGUUAUUCAAAGUGCCAGAGGUUUAAAAAGUGUCUUAGCAUCAUCAUAUUUCAGACUGAGCACAGAAACUCAACUGCUGAAGAGUCAACUGGUGGACUGGAAAAAAUAUGGAUCAAAAUAAAUUAGGAAAAAAGAAUCACAAGAUCAUAUCAAUGUAGAGCAAAGCUGAAGACAACAGAAUAAGAAUGAAAAUGAAAAGUAAGUUUAUUUAUUUAUUUAUUUAUUUUUUGAAAAGUAAGUUUAUUUAAAAUACCCUUUCUAUAAAACAAAAUCAUGUCCUUAGGA
RNAcentral lists this long non-coding RNA (421 nucleotides) under Vulpes vulpes (red fox). Its description in RNAcentral is "lncRNA (ENSVVUG00000000391.1)". The record is from RNAcentral. Lineage: Eukaryota; Metazoa; Chordata; Mammalia; Carnivora; Canidae.